CACGAAGNACUCCGAUUGCGAAGGCAGCUUGCUGGACUGUAACUGACGCUGAGGCACGAAAGCGUGGGGAUCAAACAGGAUUAGAUACCCUNGUAGNCCACGCCGUAAACGAUGAAUGCUAGCUGUUAGCGAUAUACUGUUAGCGGCACAGAGAAAUCGUUAAGCAUUCCACCUGGGGAGUACGCCGGCAACGGUGAAACUCAAAGGAAUUGACGGGGGCCCGCACAAGCGGAGGAACAUGUGGUUUAAUUCGAUGAUACGCGAGGAACCUUACCUGGGCUUAAAUUGCAGUGGAAUAACGUGGAAACAUGUUAGCCUUCGGGCCGCUGUGAAGGUGCUGCAUGGUUGUCGUCAGCUCGUGCCGUGAGGUGUCGGCUUAAGUGCCAUAACGAGCGCAACCCUCAUCGAUAGUUACUAACAGGUUAAGCUGAGGACUCUAUCGAGACUGCCGACGUAAGUCGUGAGGAAGGUGGGGAUGACGUCAAAUCAGCACGGCCCUUACGUCCAGGGCUACACACGUGUUACAAUGGGGGGUACAAAGGGCAGCUACCUGGCGACAGGAUGCUAAUCUCAAAAACCUCUCUCAGUUCGGAUUGGAGUCUGCAACCCGACUCCAUGAAGCUGGAUUCGCUAGUAAUCGCGCAUCAGCCACGGCGCGGUGAAUACGUUCCCGGGCCUUGUACACACCGCCCGUCAAGCCAUGGGAGCCGGGGGGACCUGAAGUAUGCAACCGUAAGGAGCGUCCUAGGGUAAAACUGGUGACUGGGGCU
This 770-nucleotide ribosomal RNA is filed under the name uncultured prokaryote. RNAcentral describes it as "bacterial SSU rRNA". It matches the Rfam family "Bacterial small subunit ribosomal RNA", at positions 698 to 1482 of the family's 1533-position model. The record is from RNAcentral.